GUAGGUGGCAAGCGUUGUCCGGGAAUUAUCGGGCGUAAAGCGCGCGCAGGCGGUCCUUUAAGUCUGAUGUGAAAGCCCACGGGCUCAACCGUGGAGGGUCAUUGGAAACUGGGGGACUUGAGUACAGAAGAGGAAAGCGGAAUUCCAAGUGUAGCGGUGAAAUGCGUAGAGAUUUGGAGGAACACCAGUGGCGAAGGCGGCUUUCUGGUCUGUAACUGACGCUGAGGCGCGAAAGCGUGGGGAGCAAACAGGAUUAGAUACCCUGGUAGUCCACGCCGUAAACGAUGAGUGCUAAGUGUUAGGGGGGUUUCCGCCCCUUAGUGCUGCAGCUAACGCAUUAAGCACUCCGCCUGGGGAGUACGGCCGCAAAGGCUGA
Molecule: ribosomal RNA, 376 nt
Filed under: uncultured organism
Description: partial 16S ribosomal RNA
Rfam family: Bacterial small subunit ribosomal RNA
Source: RNAcentral